GGCAGGUUGUGGGUAGCUAGAGAGGUAGUCUGAAUAAAGGCAGGUUGUGGGUAGCUAGAGAGGCAGUCUGAAUAAAGGCAGGUUGUGGAGAGGUAGUCUGAAUAAAGGCAGGUUGUGGGUAGCUAGAGAGGUAGUCUGAAUAAAGGCAGGUUGUGGAGAGGUAGUCUGAAUAAAGGCAGGUUAUGGGUAGCUAGAGAGGUAGUCUGAAUAAAGGCAGGUUGUGGGUAGCUAGAGAGGUAGUCUGAAUAAA
Long non-coding RNA from Salvelinus fontinalis (brook trout), 250 nucleotides. RefSeq lists it as uncharacterized. The transcript has 3 exons. Lineage: Eukaryota; Metazoa; Chordata; Actinopteri; Salmoniformes; Salmonidae. The record is from RefSeq and is a predicted model, not a curated record.